AUCCUUUUACAGUUCAUUAGCAUCAUGAUUGGGUGUUCACGUUUGUAUGACAUGUGCUUCCCUUAAAUCAUGUUACAUACUUGGCACAUUACCCAUCUGACA
Sorex fumeus (smoky shrew) is the source of this 102-nucleotide small nucleolar RNA. RefSeq annotates it as small nucleolar RNA U13. Lineage: Eukaryota; Metazoa; Chordata; Mammalia; Eulipotyphla; Soricidae. The transcript has a single exon. The record is from RefSeq and is a predicted model, not a curated record.